CCACAGACUGCAAGAGAGAAGGGGUGAGAAGAGCGAUUAACAACUGUGGGGGAAUUGGCUAGAGCCCCGUGAGGUGGUGUUGUUCAGGUGGGGACUCUGCAGAGUGCCAGGACCUUCCAAGCCUGUACAUCGUCAGUACUGACGGGAGCAGAGAAUCAAUCCUGACACUGUGGGAGACAUCCUGCAAGGGACAGGACACUGGAGCCUUCCUUCCUGCUGCUUCAGACAUUUUUGAGCCAUUUCUUAACGCGGAUGGGGCUCUCUCUGGUCCGUGUGCCUUCCUUUCACCCCGUGUCCCAGCCCUCCCAGUGACAGCCGAGCCCUGCUGGCAUCUGACCACUACAACAGCACCAGGCAGGGAGCUACUCACCCGGCACACACUCAGGAACCUCUUCUCCACGCUGUCUGUCCUUCCACUUCCGAGAGGAUGGGCAGCUAAGUGUCCCUGCAGAGCAGAAUGAGGGGCAGCAAAGGAUUGGGGGGCGUCCAGCUCCCCAAUGUGAUGGCUACUCAGAAGGACUCAGCAGAAUUCCCCUUACAAACCUGGAUUCCUGCUUUCUCCUCUUCGGCCUGUAAGCUUUACAGGGCCACGAAUUUCCUGGAAUUAAUAGCUGGAGUCAAGCAAUGGCUGUCUCACUAUCAAGGUCACCGCGGGACAAGGAUAGAGUCAGUUCAGGAAGUGUGCCACUGUGGGGUGGGCAACGAGACCCUCCUCCUAACCACGUGGGAGCCAGUCUUCUAGCAGCCUUCAGAUGAAGAUGUAGAACUCUCAGCUCCUCCUGCACCAUGCCUGUCUGGACGAUGCCAUGUUUCCUCCUUGAUGAUAUGGACUGAACCUCUGAGCCUGUAAGCCAGUCCCAAUUAAAUGUUGUCCUCAUAAGAGUCGCCUUGGUCAUGGUGCCUGUUAACAGCAGUAAAAACCUAAGACAGUGGGUAACAUAACAUUUCUGGAGGUUCCACAGAGAUCCUCAGAAACCAUAUAUUAAGACACCAGGGGUCUCACUUAGGUCCCCUUAAAGCAGUGAAGAGUGCAUUGGUCAAAGGGCUCCUAGGGAGUGUGCGGUCUAAGAUGUCCUAGGUCCCCAGGAUCCCCUUUGAUCAAUGGCUGCCUAAGGACACUUUGGAGGUGUCUGAUGCCUCCACCCCAAAAGGAAACAAAUUAGAAAGUCACCUGAUGGAUCACUUCCAGAGGUAAGUGUGGUUAAGGCACCUUCUGUUUGGACACAUAGGAGAGGUUGGAUAUCGUCCCUGAUCUAGAGAGAUGUCACUUGGUCCUUCUGUCUGUUCAUGUGUAUACAUGUGUGGUGUUCCCUCCCCCUGGCUUCUUAACUGGGUCUCUCUCUGCCUUCCUCUGUCUGUCCCUGUCUCUUGCUGUUUUUCUCUGUGUCUGCCUGUCUCUUCUUUGUAACUCUGUCUCUCAGUCUCUCUCUCUCUCUCUCUCUCUCUCUCUCUCUCUCUGUGGGGUGUGUGUGUGUGUGUGUGUGUGUGUGUGUGUGUGUGUGUUUGUCUUCCUAUGUAUUUUCCAGUUCUGUUUCUCUGUAUUGACCAGUGGCUUACUAUGAUGUGAGACUUUCCAUAAACACCCUCCACCCUCAGCUUAAGAACUGUGCCUCUUGUCGGGGACUCAAAUCUGUCUGCCUCUGUCAGAUCAUCCAGAGAACUCAAAAAACAAAAACAAAAACAAAACCCUCCGCCUCUCACUCUAGAGUGCUUGCUUGUUUUGUUGAGUGACUCCUGCCUAUGGUCUAGGUUGGUUUGGUCCCUGAGUUGAGGUGGGGAGGACCAGACCUCUCUCAUCCAGGGCUCCCUGCCAUUUGAACAGAAUGCAGACCCAGAAGGAGAAAUACUCCCCACCCCGUAUGUGUUUUCCCCCAGGUCCCUGCCUGCUCUAUGCAGUACCAGGGAAUGGGAAAAAAAAAAGAAAGUCCAGUCUUUCUUUUUUCAUGACUUAUGCCUCAUUUUCAACCAAUAAUCCAUAUAAUUGGAAAACUCAGAACCUACCAUUCUCUGAAAAAAAAUGAGAAAAACAGCUCCUGGGCUAGACAAAGCAGCUUGUACAGAAUGGACUUUCCUUUCUGCUCAACACAGACCAUGAAGACUUUAAUCAAUUUUGGUCAGGUUCUUUUCAGAAGAAUUAAAGACAAUUGCUAAAAAAGAUUUCCUUUUUCACUCAGUCAUCCCCAGAUAUUAAUUAAAAAAGCUAUAAAAAGUUAAAAAAUUAAAGUAAUAAACUGGUCCUAGUUGCUGGAUGUAGUUCAAAAGGUGUUUGUGGUGGUUUGAAUAUACUUGGCCCAGGGAGUGGCACACUAGUAGGUGUGACCUUGUUGAAGGAAAUGUGUCACUGUUUGGGUGUGUCACCUUGAGACCCUCCUCCUAGCUGACUGGAAGACAGUUUUCUCCUGUUUGCCUUUGGGACAAGAUGUAGAACUCUCAGUCACUCCCGUGCCAUGCCUGCCUGGACACUGCCAUGCUUCCUGCCAUGAUGACAAUGCCCUGAACCUCUGAACCUGUAAGACAGCCCCACUUAAAUGUUUUUCUUAGUAAGAGUUGCCUUGGUCAUGGUGUCUCUUCACAGCCAUGGAAACCCUAACUGAGACAGUGUUUAACAACAAAAAGAGCUGUGGUGGCUACUGCUAGGCUAGUGCCAGUAAACAAACAAACAAACAAACAAACAAACAAAGUUAACUCUCGGUCAGAAUCUUCUACUCACAGUAUCCCAUGCAGUUGAGACACUCCUCUGAGGAACACCAGAAUGCUAGCUGUCUAACGCCCGUGUGGCCCAGUACCAGGCCUACUCCUGGACCAUGUUCAAGUUUGAGAAAUACACCGCGAUCCAUCCUGCUACGUUCUUGCCUGAUGUCGACCUAUAGUUACUUAUCUACUGCCCCAAGAUGAAAAAAGACCAGGAACCUGGGAGCUCUAGUAAUGGCUUUAACUGAAAUGACUUAGGCCCAAACCAGGUACCUCAGGCCAGAGAGCAGAACUAAGCCAUCUGACCCAGGCUCUCAGAUGGAGAAAAGGAAAGUUCCUCACUGUCUACAUGGGCAGCUGCUAUGCUUUUACUACAGUGCGUGUCUACGGUUUGAUCUGUAGAGGAAGAACGUUUCUCACCACUGGGAGAAGGACUUUAAAAACAAUGAGAAAAUCGUGGCCCUCAUGAAGGCUAUUUGGCUUCCCCUAUGAGUUGGUCUCCUCCACUGCCAAAGACAUCAAAAAGAUAACUUCCCUGAGGCAAGAGAAACUGGGUUGUUGAUCUAGCUGCCUGACAGGCAAGUGGCUCUAAACAAGUGGGGCCUCUUGAUAUUCUGAUGACACACCCCACUCCAGUGCUGCCUGUGACUCCUGUACAACCAAGGGGAGAUAGAGGAUGAAAAAAAAUACAGUUGGAACCCGCAGGUUGAUGGAGGACACCAGUGGGAAAGAUCAAAUGAUGGAGCAUUAAAAUUAAGUUUUCAUCAGGUCCGGGGCCCUUCUAUCCCCUGCCCAUUUUGUCCCCUCCUGAAUCUUACAUUUGAUAUGAAUACAGACAGGGUCAUGUCCAAUUCCCAGUGCCCUCAGGCCUGUACUUGGGAAUUGAGGAAGACAGAUACUGGGAAGGCAUUAGAAUGUGACUACACACCAGCAUCUCACAUUCAUCUGGACAUGAUGUCCGAUUUAAAGGUUUGGUGCUAUUGAAAAAAAAAGAUGUGGGAGUUUGGCUUUUGAGAUAAGAGUUUACAAUUUUAUGCACGCCCUGUGGUGGGCCCCCCUGAGUUGCCAAGAGCAAGGGAGUUUCCAUUGCAAAAGUUGAGGUUGUGAAACAGAGGCUUCCUGGAAAAUUCCUUAAGAUUCUGGUUCUUUGGGAAACAGGGAAAACCUGGGGAAUCAGACUUUAGUGCCACAGGAAUAGAUGCUAGGCAAAGAUUUAAACUGCCUCUCAAGGUUCCCAGGCCUUUGGGGUCCCGCACAUGCUGUGUCUGUCCUCACUGUACUCCUGGUUGGAGCUGGCAUAGACACAUCAGCCCUUAUCACGGGAGAUAAAAACCAAAACCAAAACCAAAACUAUGGAUCCAGGCUGAUCCGGACCCAGAGGUAUUAAACGUUUCUAUUUCUGAAUGAAAACCACAGUAGAUUCCCUCAAAAAAGUUGUCCUCCUACAGAAACAGAGAGACUUACACUUACGUCUCAUGGGAUAAGGUGGACUAUGUAUGGCUUUGAGAGAAACCUGUUGUUUCUAUGCUAAUCGAUUAGGAGUAAGAAGAUAUAAUGACACAAUUGGUACCAGGCUCUGUUCUGUUGGUCCUUCAGGCUAGCUACAUUGUUACCAGCCCUGGCUGGACCUUUAAUUCUUAUUCUGCUUCAAUUAACAGAAGGGCCGCUGCAGCCUAAGCUGCACAGGCCAUUGUGUACCAGUUUGGCAAAACUAGUGUAGUGGUUCUUGGGAGCAACUGAACCUCUUUAUAGCAUGGUGAGCCCAUGACUUGACCCAUUCACGAAAACCAGGUCCCUAGACCUUAGCAUAACUGACUCACGAUUGAAGGACCAUUCGGACUGUAAAACUCAGCUUGUAGAGAGGACCCCCCCACACACACACACAAACAAAAGCAAAGACCGAACCCAUCAAAGUCCAUAGUUCUGGGAAAGUCUCUAAAGUUUUGCUUCUUGGUUUCUGCAGUUCUGUGUCUGGCUAAUUGCUCUUGUUAAUUGAACUACGCCAACCUAAGAUACAUUGUACUCAUCCUGAGAAAGGCUCAGGUCUACACUGGGAUCCUGAACACCCAGUGUGAUAGCGGGCUGGCUAAGAAAGUGUCUAUUUGCUUAAACCCGUGUCUGAGUAGUCUUCUCUGGUGGAGACCCCACCACAGUGCACAGCACAGUGCCUCUAGCGCCCCAGCUUUGAGUCAGAGUAUAUGCAUAGUAAGUCCCAAGCUGUCACUUUCCACUUUCCUGAGUAAUUUUCUGCAGCCACCAUUUUCUAAAGCAACAUGACCCACUGUGAAGGCCUCAUGCCCUUUCUAGUUUCCUCAUGGUACCAUUCCCCUCGCUCAGGAAAUCCUCAGUGUGUGGGAAUCCAAGGACAAAGUACACACGAUGUGGCUGUAGUCGAGACUGGAUGUCUGUGCUUAACUUAGUAACAUUUUCCAUGUGCAGCUAGGGUCUGUGAUGAGAUCCAGGGCCUUGUGGAUUCCGGGCCAGUGUUACACUCCAGCCCUUGGUUUUUGGAGAUAGGACCUCCCUACACAGCCUGGGCUAGCCUCAAACUUUUGUGUUAACCCACAUUUCUUGGAUGGUGCUCCUGCUGCAGCCACUUCCUUUUGUCCUUCUCUUCCAACUUCUCCCUUCCUCUUCUUCUUUUAUUUCUUUGACACUGUAAGACUGGCCUCAGACUUGUGGUCCUCUUACCUCUGCCUUCUGAGGGCUGGGAUUACAGAUGCAUACUACCACAUCUGGAUUAUUAUUGGUUUGUUUUAUUUUAGGCAGAGUUUCACGAUGUAGCCCAGGUUGGCUUGGAAUUCAGUAUGUAGCCCAGGCUAACAUUGAAUUUAUGACAAUUUCUCCCUCAGCUGAGCUCCCAUGCUGGGCUUUUUCUGGCGUCUUGCCAGUUCUCCAUUCUCCCAUUCUCUACACAGUCCAAGUUUCUUUGCGACACCAUCCAGUCUGACUCUCCACGGUCACAUUCACCGAGAACUUGGCAGGAAACCAUCUCUUAAUCACGGCAAACUUUUUGCUCAGACAUGCCCAGACUUUUCAACAUCAACAAAUGGACCUUCUCACAUUUAAGAGGCAGAAAGCACUUGAUGUAGGAGACAUCUGGGUUGAUUGAGCAUGAACUCUCUCUCCCCUUCCCCCUGCCCUCCUCAUUCCUUUCCUUCCCUUCCUAUCCAUUUCCCCUUCCCUUCUUCCUUCCUUCCAGUUUUUGUUCUUUCUGCCUAUGUGUGCGUGUGCCUACAUGUAGGUGUGCAUGGGACGUGUACCCACUCCUGAAUACGUGUGCUGAGGACAGAGGUCGGCACUGGACUGCCUCCUUUAUUUCUCUUCACCUUAUUUUUUGAAGCAGGGUCUUUCCCUGAACCUGGAACUCACCCUUCCACUGGCCGGUAAACCCCUGGGCUUUACCAUUUCCCUGCUACAGCCCCUCGAGCGCUGGGGUUGCAGAAACAUGCCACCAUGCCUGGCUUUUGCCUGGGUCUCGGGGAUCUGAACUCAGGCCAUUUUGUUUGUUCUCUGUGGGACUUGGGACUUUCUUUUCUUUUGUGUGUGUGUGUGUGUGUGUGUGUGUGUGUGUGUGGUGUGAGUGUGUGUGUCUGUGUGUGUGUGUUUGUGUGGUGUCUGUGUGUGUGUGGUGUGGGGUGUGUGUGUCUGUAUGUGUGUGUGUGGUGUGUGUGUGUGUAUGUAUGUUUAUGUGGUGUCUGUGUGGUGUAUGUGUGUGUGGUGUCUGUGUGUCUGUGUGUGUGUGUUUGUGUGGUGUCUGUGUGUAUGUGUAUGUGUGUGUGGUGUCUGUGUGUGGUAUGUGUCUGUUUAUGUGGUGUCUGUGGGGUGUGUGUGUGUGUGUGUGUGUGUGUGUGUGUGUGUGUGUGUGACUUUCCCUGGAAGGAGAAAGGAAGGAGAAAUCACAUCCUUGAACUUGAACUCUUCAAUGAAAAGGGAAGAGUGGCCAAUUGUGGGGUGCACAUCUUUAGUCCCAGUACUUGGAGGGCAGAGGCAGGUGGAUCUCUGUGAGUUUGAGGAAAAGCUAGGGAUAAACAGAGGAGUCCUGUCUUGAAAAACAAAACAAAACAAAACAAAACAAAACAAAACAAAACA
Long non-coding RNA from Rattus norvegicus (Norway rat), 6783 nucleotides. RefSeq lists it as uncharacterized. Lineage: Eukaryota; Metazoa; Chordata; Mammalia; Rodentia; Muridae. The record is from RefSeq and is a predicted model, not a curated record.